Molecule: ribosomal RNA, 465 nt
Filed under: Vreelandella stevensii
Lineage: Bacteria; Pseudomonadati; Pseudomonadota; Gammaproteobacteria; Oceanospirillales; Halomonadaceae
Description: partial 16S ribosomal RNA
Rfam family: Bacterial small subunit ribosomal RNA
Source: RNAcentral
CCUACGGGGGGCAGCAGUGGGGAAUAUUGGACAAUGGGCGAAAGCCUGAUCCAGCCAUGCCGCGUGUGUGAAGAAGGCCUUCGGGUUGUAAAGCACUUUCAGUGGGGAAGAAAGCCUUGGGGCUAAUACCCUCGAGGAAGGACAUCACCCACAGAAGAAGCACCGGCUAACUCCGUGCCAGCAGCCGCGGUAAUACGGAGGGUGCGAGCGUUAAUCGGAAUUACUGGGCGUAAAGCGCGCGUAGGCGGUCUGAUAAGCCGGUUGUGAAAGCCCCGGGCUCAACCUGGGAACGGCAUCCGGAACUGUCAGGCUAGAGGGCAGGAGAGGAAGGUAGAAUUCCCGGUGUAGCGGUGAAAUGCGUAGAGAUCGGGAGGAAUACCAGUGGCGAAGGCGGCCUUCUGGACUGACACUGACGCUGAGGUGCGAAAGCGUGGGUAGCAAACAGGAUUAGAUACCCUGGUAGUC